GAUGAACGCUAGCGGAAGGCUUAAUACAUGCAAGUCGAGCGGUAGGUGGCUUCGGCCAUUGAGAGCGGCGCACGGGUGAGUAACGCGUACAUGACCUGCCUGUCAGAAGGGGAUAGCCCUGGGAAACUGGGAUUAAUACCCUAUGGUAUUGAUAUUAUGAAUGAUAUCAAUUAAAGUUGAGGCGCUGACAGAUGGAUGUGCGUCUGAUUAGCUAGUUGGUAGGGUAACGGCCUACCAAGGCGACGAUCAGUAGGGGGCUGAGAGCGUGGUCCCCCACACGGGUACUGAGACACGGACCCGACUCCUACGGGAGGCAGCAGUAAGGAAUAUUGGUCAAUGCCCGCAAGGGUGAACCAGCCAUUCCGCGUGGAGGAUGAAGGCCCUAUGGGUUGUAAACUUCUUUUAGAUGGGAAGAAAAUGCUAGAUGUAUCUGGUACUGACGGUACCAUCAGAAUAAGCACCGG
RNAcentral lists this ribosomal RNA (464 nucleotides) under uncultured bacterium. RNAcentral's name for it is "bacterial SSU rRNA". It matches the Rfam family "Bacterial small subunit ribosomal RNA", at positions 28 to 496 of the family's 1533-position model. The record is from RNAcentral.